This 586-nucleotide ribosomal RNA is filed under the name Leptolyngbya sp. C38. RNAcentral describes it as "bacterial SSU rRNA". It matches the Rfam family "Bacterial small subunit ribosomal RNA", at positions 156 to 758 of the family's 1533-position model. The record is from RNAcentral. Lineage: Bacteria; Bacillati; Cyanobacteriota; Cyanophyceae; Leptolyngbyales; Leptolyngbyaceae.
CCCAUCCAUCACGAAACUUACUGCAAUUCCCCCAAAGGCGAAAAGUUAAAAAUUUUUUUGGCUUAAGGAUGAACCCCCUCUGAUUAGCUUUUUGGGGGGGUAAGGGCCUACCAAGGCCACCAUCAGUAGCUGGUCUAAGAGGAUGAUUUGCCACACUGGGACUGAGACACGGCCCAGACUCCUACGGGAGGUUCACCGCCUGAAUUUUCCGCAAUGGGCGAAAGCCUGACGGAGCAACGCCCUCCGAGGUAUUAAGGCCUUAGGGUUGUAAACCUCUUUUCUCUGUUAAGAAGACCUGACGGUACCGGAGAAAUAAGCCUCGGAAAACUCCUUGCCACCAGCCGCCUUCCGACGGAAGACGCCGGUGUUAUCCGGAAUUAUUGCCCGUAAAGCGUCAGUAGCCAGUUAAUUAAGUCUGUUGACAAAGGUCACAGCUCAACUGUGGAUCGGCAAUGGAAACUGAUUAACUUGAGUGUGGAAGGUGUAGAGGGAAUUCCCGGUGUAGCGGUGAAAUGCAUAGAUAUCGGAAAGAACACCAGUGGGCAAAGGCCCUCUAACGGCCCACAACUGAUGCUGAGGGACGAAA